Molecule: non-coding RNA, 72 nt
Organism: Emiliania huxleyi CCMP1516
Lineage: Eukaryota; Haptophyta; Isochrysidales; Noelaerhabdaceae
Source: Rfam
CCCCUCUUAGCUCAGAGGUAGAGCGUUGGUCUUCUGAACCAAGGGCCGUGGGUUCGAACCCCACAGGGGGGU